AACGUACGCUGGCGGCACGCCUAACACAUGCAAGUCGAACGAAGUAGCAAUACUUAGUGGCAGACGGGUGAGUAACAUGUAGGUAUCUGCCCUUUGGCCUGGAAUAACACGAGGAAACUUGUGCUAAUACCGGAUAAGUCUUUACGGAGAAAGCUUUAUGCACCAUUGGAUGAGCCUGCACUUGAUUAGUUUGUUGGUGGGGUAAUGGCCUACCAAGACUGUGAUCAAUAGCUGAUUUGAGAGGAUGAUCAGCCACAUUGGGACUGAGACACGGCCCAAACUCCUACGGGAGGCAGCAGUGGGGAAUCUUGCACAAUGGAGGAAACUCUGAUGCAGCGAUGCCGCGUGAGUGAAGAAGGCCUUUGGGUUGUAAAGCUCUUUCGUCGGGGAAGAAAAUGACUGUACCCGAAUAAGAAGGUCCGGCUAACUUCGUGCCAGCAGCCGCGGUAAUACGAAGGGACCUAGCGUAGUUCGGAAUUACUGGGCUUAAAGAGUUCGUAGGUGGUUGAAAAAGUUGGUGGUGAAAUCCCAGAGCUUAACUCUGGAACUGCCAUCAAAACUUUUCAGCUAGAGUAUGAUAGAGGAAAGCAGAAUUUCUAGUGUAGAGGUGAAAUUCGUAGAUAUUAGAAAGAAUACCAAUUGCGAAGGCAGCUUUUCUGGAUCAUUACUGACACUGAGGAACGAAAGCAUGGGUAGCGAAGAGGAUUAGAUACCCUCGUAGUCCAUGCCGUAAACGAUGUGUGUUAGACGUUGGAAAUUUAUUUUCAGUGUCGCAGCGAAAGCGAUAAACACACCGCCUGGGGAGUACGACCGCAAGGUUAAAACUCAAAUGAAUUGACGGGGACCCGCACAAGUAGUGGAGCAUGUGGUUUAAUUCGAAGAUACGCGCAGAACCUUACCGACACUUGACAUGUUCGUCGCGACUUUAAGAGAUUAAAGUUUUCGGUUCGGCCGGACGAAACACAGGUGCUGCAUGGCUGUCGUCAGCUCGUGUCGUGAGAUGUUGGGUUAAGUCCCGCAACGAGCGCAACCCUCACUUUUAGUUGCCAUCAUUAAGUUGGGCACUCUGAAAGAACUGCCAGUGAUAAGCUGGAGGAAGGUGGGGAUGACGUCAAGUCCUCAUGGCCCUUACGUGUUGGGCUACACACGUGCUUCAAUGGUAUCUACAACAGGAAGCAAGACUGCGAAGUUAAGCAAAUCCUUAAAAGAUACCUCAGUUCGGAUUGCACUCUGCAACUCGAGUGCAUGGAGCUGGAAUUACUAGUAAUCGUGGAUCAGCGUGCCACGGUGAAUGCGUUCCCGGGUCUU
RNAcentral lists this ribosomal RNA (1308 nucleotides) under uncultured bacterium. Its description in RNAcentral is "bacterial SSU rRNA". It matches the Rfam family "Bacterial small subunit ribosomal RNA", at positions 28 to 1382 of the family's 1533-position model. The record is from RNAcentral.